CCUACGGGAGGCAGCAGUGGGGAAUCUUGCGCAAUGGGCGAAAGCCUGACGCAGCCAUGCCGCGUGAAUGAUGAAGGUCUUAGGAUUGUAAAAUUCUUUCAGCAGGGACGAUAAUGACGGUACCUGCAGAAGAAGCCCCGGCUAACUUCGUGCCAGCAGCCGCGGUAAUACGAAGGGGGCUAGCGUUGCUCGGAAUUACUGGGCGUAAAGGGAGCGUAGGCGGGUUAUCAAGUUGGAGGUGAAAGCCCAGGGCUCAACCUUGGAAUUGCCUUCAAAACUGAUAGCCUAGAGUAUGAUAGAGGUAUGUGGAACUCCGAGUGUAGAGGUGAAAUUCGUAGAUAUUCGGAAGAACACCAGUGGCGAAGGCGACAUACUGGGUCAUGACUGACGCUGAGGCUCGAAAGCGUGGGGAGCAAACAGGAUUAGAUACCCUGGUAGUCCACGCUGUAAACGAUGAUUGCUAGUUGUUGGCCAGCAUGCUGUCGGUGACGCAGCUACGCAUAAGACACACCGCCGUCGGGUAGGUACGGUCGCGAGAAGUUAAAACGUUAAAGUAAGUAGUAGACGNGAGAGAGCGACGACGACGACGACGGAGGAGGAGG
RNAcentral lists this ribosomal RNA (602 nucleotides) under uncultured bacterium. Its description in RNAcentral is "bacterial SSU rRNA". The stretch from base 1 to 515 matches the Rfam family "Bacterial small subunit ribosomal RNA", at positions 338 to 873 of the family's 1533-position model. The record is from RNAcentral.